This 292-nucleotide ribosomal RNA is filed under the name uncultured bacterium. Its description in RNAcentral is "partial 16S ribosomal RNA". It matches the Rfam family "Bacterial small subunit ribosomal RNA", at positions 775 to 1057 of the family's 1533-position model. The record is from RNAcentral.
GGAUUAGAUACCCUGGUAGUCCUAGCUGUAAACGAUGGAUACUAGACGUAGGAACUGGAUUGACGGUUUCUGUGUCGUAGCUAACGCGUUAAGUAUCCCGCCUGGGGAGUACGGUCGCAAGAUUAAAACUCAAAGGAAUUGACGGGGGCCCGCACAAGCGGUGGAGUAUGUGGUUUAAUUCGACGCAACGCGCAGAACCUUACCCAGUCUUAACAUCCCGAGAAGCAGACAGAGAUGUCAGCGUGCUGCCGCAAGGUAGAAUUCGGUGAUAGGUGCUGCAUGGCUGUCGUCA